UCUCUCUGUCUCUCUCUCUGUCUCUCUCUCUCUCUCUCUCUCUCUCUCUCUCUCUCCCACAGUCUGUCAAAGGUGUGGUGUCAUUAACAAACAACGUAUUCACAGUACACAUCUCUCUCCAUUCUCUCCCUUUAUCCUCCCUCUGUAUCCAUCUGUCUCUGAGCCCUCCCUUCCUCCCCUCCUCCUCCUCCUUUUCCACCUAUCGUUCUCUCUCUACUACCCUGGUUUCAUUCAGUGUUAAAUUAAGGAUGCCUCAAGUGUUUUCUCUCUCUCAUUAUUUCGUGCAGUGAUAGGUUGAUGGAUUGAUAGGUUGAUGGAUUGAUAGGUUGAUGGAUGGGUAGGUGGAUGGAUUGAUAGGUUGAUGGAUUGAUAGCUUGAUGGAUUUAUAGGUUGAUGGAUUGAUAGGUGGAUGGAUUGAUAGCUUGAUGGAUUUAUAGGUGGAUGGAUUGAUAGGUGGAUGGAUUGAUAGGUCUCAGUGAGAUUGCUGAUGGGUGGUUGCUGAUGACCCUUGCAAAUGCAUACCCAGAUCAGAACACAAGCCCUCUCUCUCUCCCCCUCCCUCCCU
Oncorhynchus tshawytscha (Chinook salmon) is the source of this 565-nucleotide long non-coding RNA. NCBI's taxonomy places the organism in Eukaryota, Metazoa, Chordata, Actinopteri, Salmoniformes, Salmonidae. The record is from Ensembl.